CCCUUAGAUGUCCUGGGCUGCACGCGCGCUACACUGAUGUGUCCAGUAAGCACCUAACCUAUUCCGAGAGGAGCGGGUAACCUUAGCAAAGCACAUCGUGAUGGGGAUAGAUUAUUGCAAUUAUUAGUCUUGAACGAGGAAUUCCUAGUAAGCACAAGUCAUCAGCUUGUGUUGAUUACGUCCCUGCCCUUUGUACACACCGCCCGUCGCUCCUACCGAUUGAAUGUUCCGGUGAGCUCUUCGGACUGCGCGGUCUGCAGUUUCUGCGUUCCGUGCGGAAAGUUGUGCAAACCUUAACAUUUAGAGGAAGGAGAAGUCGUAACA
Molecule: ribosomal RNA, 324 nt
Filed under: uncultured eukaryote
Lineage: Eukaryota
Description: partial 18S ribosomal RNA
Rfam family: Eukaryotic small subunit ribosomal RNA
Source: RNAcentral